CAAACGACUCUCGGCAACGGAUAUCUCGGCUCUCGCAUCGAUGAAGAACGUAGCGAAAUGCGAUACUUGGUGUGAAUUGCAGAAUCCCGUGAACCAUCGAGUYUUUGAACGCAAGUUGCGCCCGAAGCUUCGGCUAAGGGCACGCCUGCCUGGGUGUCACACAU
Molecule: ribosomal RNA, 164 nt
Filed under: Combretum collinum subsp. gazense
Lineage: Eukaryota; Viridiplantae; Streptophyta; Magnoliopsida; Myrtales; Combretaceae
Description: 5.8S ribosomal RNA
Rfam family: 5.8S ribosomal RNA
About the family: 5.8S ribosomal RNA (5.8S rRNA) is a component of the large subunit of the eukaryotic ribosome. It is transcribed by RNA polymerase I as part of the 45S precursor that also contains 18S and 28S rRNA.
Source: RNAcentral